GUACAUGUUUUAAAUAUAAAUAAAUUAAAUAUAGAUGUUUUCAUUUAGGCUAGAUACACAUGAAUAAAUGAUGUUUGUUUUCACAGGUACUGUUUAUGUACAUAAGUAGUUCUAUAAUUUGACUAAUGUUAACACAGACAGUAUCAUAGAUGACCUCGAGAAGCUGAUCAUAAAAACUUGCACCUUGAUAACUGGUGACAGAUUGGAGUUAAACAUCGACGUACGGAGUUUCCAAAAAAUUUCAAGAAGUAAAAACCCAUUGUACCACAAACAUAUGUUGAUUUUUUCCCCGUCAUAUUGUUUGCUGUAAUGUUAGUUGUUAACAUCGUUGGAUAUGGAUAUAGAAUGUACCUACAGGAUUAUUAUUUGUAUAUAGACAUAUAUAGAAAUCAUAACUAACCUAACCGGAAAGUGGGUAUUUACGGGAGAAAAUAUAGACACCAGUGGUUUACCGAUGUUCAAAUCCCAAAAAUUUAUGAAUUAAGAAGACAAAGAUAACAUACACAAACCUGAGGGAAUCGCAUAGACGUCAAAAUGAGCGAUGAUGCAUAUGCUGAUUACCAUGAUGACGACUAUGAAUGGAUCUACGGACUGUUGCUAUUAUAUUUUGAAGGCAGAGAAAAGUAUAAACUCUUAUUGCGUAACAGAGAUUGGCUAGUAUGUGAAAACAUAUGAGAAAACAUUACGUUUUCUAUGUCGAAAUGUAAAAAGAUGAUUCUUGUAGUUUCUAAUAGUUUUGCGAAAUGUGGAUGGUUCAUUUUGUAACCAUGCAGACACUAUUAUUAUUAAGGUACUAAAAAUGUUUUCGAAUUUGUUCAUUUCGUAAAAUGUAAAAUAAUAAAAAUACCGAACUCCAAGGAAAAUUCAAAAAGGAAAUUCCAUUAUCAAAUGACAAAUUUAAAAGCUCAAACACAUCAAACGAAUGAAAAACAAAUGUCAUCUUCCUGACUUGGUACAAGCAUUUUCUUAUGUAGAAAAUGGUGGAUUAAAUUUGGUUUUAUAGUUAGCUAAACCGCUCACUUGUAUGACAGUCGCAUAAAAUUCCAUUAUAUUAGCUAAAUAUAAUAAUUCUUUAUUGCAAAACAAACAAAAACCAAUGUUGGUUAUAGAAAUACAGACACAAAAAAAAACAUAAGAAAAAACACAGCAAUAAUAAUGUACAUGUUAAAAACAGUUAUUGGUCUCCUUUCCUCAGUUCUAAUGAUUCUUUAAUAAAAGAAACGACUGCUUUUAUAUCAUUGGGUAUGGAUGGAUUUAGUAUAAUCGCAAGUUUAUCAAUUAAGUAAAGUCUAUUAAAAUUGACAUAUUUUUCGAUAUAAUAUUUUGAAAAGGUUCCUCUAUUAUUUUCAUUAAUUUUACAGUUAAAGAAAAAAUGGAAUUUAUCAUCUAAGAUAUUACAUAUUUUACAUUUUCUUUCAUUUCUUGGUACUCUUGUAUAUCUUCGAGUUUCUAUUAAAAGUCAAUGAUCGCUUA
Long non-coding RNA from Mytilus californianus (California mussel), 1473 nucleotides. RefSeq lists it as uncharacterized. NCBI's taxonomy places the organism in Eukaryota, Metazoa, Mollusca, Bivalvia, Mytilida, Mytilidae. The record is from RefSeq and is a predicted model, not a curated record. The transcript is spliced from 2 exons.